GGCUGGUCUGCAGGUACUGAGUUAUCUCACUGGAUUGCUCAGUCAGUCACAGACUGAACUCCUUGUUCUACUAUUUUCCCCCUUCUCACUACUGCGCUUGACUAGUCUUAA
This 111-nucleotide Y RNA is filed under the name Microcebus murinus (gray mouse lemur). RNAcentral's name for it is "Y RNA (ENSMICG00000041911.1)". It matches the Rfam family "Y RNA". From Rfam's summary of the family: Y RNAs are components of the Ro ribonucleoprotein particle (Ro RNP), in association with Ro60 and La proteins. The Y RNAs and Ro60 and La proteins are well conserved, but the function of the Ro RNP is not known. Lineage: Eukaryota; Metazoa; Chordata; Mammalia; Primates; Cheirogaleidae. The record is from Rfam by way of RNAcentral.